GAUGAACGCUGGCGGCGUGCUUAACACAUGCAAGUCGAACGAUGAAGCCCAGCUUGCUGGGUGGAUUAGUGGCGAACGGGUGAGUAACACGUGAGUAACCUGCCCUUAACUCUGGGAUAAGCCUGGGAAACUGGGUCUAAUACCGGAUAGGAGCGUCCACCGCAUGGUGGGUGUUGGAAAGAUUUAUCGGUUUUGGAUGGACUCGCGGCCUAUCAGCUUGUUGGUGAGGUAAUGGCUCACCAAGGCGACGACGGGUAGCCGGCCUGAGAGGGUGACCGGCAACACUGGGACUGAGACACGGCCCCGACUCCUACGGGAGGCAGCAGUGGGGAAUAUUGCACAAUGGGCGCAAGCCUGAUGCAGCGACGCCGCGUGAGGGAUGACGGCCUUCGGGUUGUAAACCUCUUUCAGUAGGGAAGAAGCGAAAGUGACGGUACCUGCAGAAGAAGCACCGGCUAACUACGUG
RNAcentral lists this ribosomal RNA (466 nucleotides) under uncultured bacterium. RNAcentral's name for it is "partial 16S ribosomal RNA". It matches the Rfam family "Bacterial small subunit ribosomal RNA", at positions 28 to 507 of the family's 1533-position model. The record is from RNAcentral.